CUUUAAGUAGAAGCCCGGCGAGUUCCCCUUCCUUUCAGCGACUGUGAAGUGGCGAAGGUCCCGGCUGGGAGAAGGACGUCGGAUCUCGUCCUCCCAGCUUUUCGACCCUUCCCCGAAGCCCCUCAAUAAAAUGGCUUGAUCCCA
Long non-coding RNA from Balaenoptera musculus (blue whale), 144 nucleotides. RefSeq lists it as uncharacterized. Lineage: Eukaryota; Metazoa; Chordata; Mammalia; Artiodactyla; Balaenopteridae. The record is from RefSeq and is a predicted model, not a curated record. The transcript is spliced from 2 exons.